UAUUGCUAAAAAUGCUAACAAUGAUCUGAGCCUUCAGCAAACCAUCAUCUUUUUGCUGGUGAAGGGUCUUGCUUUGAUGUUGAUGGCUGCUGAAUGAUCAGGGUGGUGGUUGCUGAAGAUUGUGGUGGCUGUGGCAGUUUGUUAAGACAACAAUGGAGUUUGCCAGAGCAAUUGACUCUUCCUUUUAUGAAAGAAAGGAAGCAAUUGACUCUUCCUUUUAUUUCUCUGUAGCAUGCAAUGCUGUUUUAUAGCAUUUUACCUGCAAUAGAACUUCUUUCAAAAUUGGAGCCAACACUCUCAAACUCUGCUGCUGCUUUAUGAACUAAGUUUAUGCAGUACUCUAAAUCCUUUAUUGUUAUUACAACAAUGUAAAUAGCACCUUCACCAAGAGUAGAUUCUAUCUUAAGAAACCACUUUCUUUGCUCCUCCUUCAUAAGAAGCAGUUCCUCAUCUGUUCAAGUUUUAUCAUGAGAUUGCAGAAAUUCAGUCCCACCUUGAUUGUAGAAAUUCAGUCCCACCUUCAGGCUCCACUUCUAGUUCUCUUGCUAUUUCUAUCGCAUCUGCUGUUGCUUCCUCCACUGAAACCUUGAACCCGUCAAAAUCACCUAUGAAGGUUAAAAUUAACUUCUUCCAAACUACAGUUAAUGUUGAUAUUUUGAUGUCAUGAAUCAUGAAUGUUCUAGAGUGGCAUCUAGAAGAAUGAAUACUUUCCAGAAUGUUUUCAAUUUCCUUUUCUAGUCCAUCAGAGGAAUCACCAUCUAUGGCAGUUAUAGUGUUAGGGAAUGUAUUUCUUAAAUUACAAGACUUGAAAGUUGGAAUUAGUCCUUGAACCAUGGGCUUCAGAAGCGAUGUUGUGUUUGCAGGUCUGAAAAUAUCCUUGUACCUCUCUGUCAGGACUCUUGAGUGACCAAGUGCAUUGUCAAUGAGCAGUAAUAUUUUGAAGGGACUCUUGUUUUUUUUUUUUAAGUCAUAGUGAGGAAGGAGACCACCAGUUCUCCUGCUGCUCUCCGCCUUGCCUAGUUUAUAAAACAAGAGAAAAAGGAGAAAGCAAAAAGUUAAAAAGAAAAAAAGUAAGAUAAAU
This 1081-nucleotide long non-coding RNA is filed under the name Homo sapiens (human). RNAcentral's name for it is "HSALNT0346829". The record is from RNAcentral. Lineage: Eukaryota; Metazoa; Chordata; Mammalia; Primates; Hominidae.